GAAUAUUGGACAAUGGGGGGCACCCUGAUCCAGCCAUGCCGCGUGUGUGAAGAAGGCCUUUUGGUUGUAAAGCACUUUAAGCGAGGAGGAGGCUACUCUAGUUAAUACCUAGAGAUAGUGGACGUUACUCGCAGAAUAAGCACCGGCUCACUCUGUGCCAGCAGCCGCGGUAAUACAGAGGGUGCAAGCGUUAAUCUGAUUUACUGGGCGUAAAGCGCGCGUAGGUGGACAAUUAAGUCAAAUGUGAAAUCCCCGAGCUUAACUUGGGAAUUGCAUUCGAUACUGGUUGGCUAGGGCAUGGGAGAGGAUGGUAGAAUUCCAGGUGUAGCGGUGAAAUGCGUAGAGGUCUGGAGGAAUACCGAUGGCGAAGGCAGCCAUCUGGCCUAAUACUGACACUGAGGUGCGAAAGCAUGGGGAGCAAACAG
RNAcentral lists this ribosomal RNA (425 nucleotides) under uncultured bacterium. RNAcentral describes it as "bacterial SSU rRNA". It matches the Rfam family "Bacterial small subunit ribosomal RNA", at positions 359 to 775 of the family's 1533-position model. The record is from RNAcentral.